Molecule: non-coding RNA, 313 nt
Organism: Paramisgurnus dabryanus
Lineage: Eukaryota; Metazoa; Chordata; Actinopteri; Cypriniformes; Cobitidae
Source: RefSeq, a predicted model, not a curated record
GAAUCUACAGGAUCCAUGAAUGAUACAUUUUAACAAAUCUGCUUUCAGCACAAAUAUUACACUGGUUACACCAAUUUUCUCUUUUCUGGUGUGUGUUUCUCCAAAGGACAGAUCUUAUUUUAAUGAAGAGAUGGAUAAACUUAUUCUUUUCAUUUUUUUGUUGCAAGGUGUUUGGUGUGGAGAUUGGAGCAUCAGUCUGCCAGAGAAGAUCGAAGCUCUGAGUGGAUCCUGUGUGACCAUAAACUGCAGAUUUACUAUUGAUAACAAAUAUGACAAAGAUCUCAAUGACAGUGCUGUUGGAGUGUGGCUUAAA